AGCAGCCGCGGUAAUUCCAGCUCCAAUAGCGUAUAUUAAAGUUGUUGCAGUUAAAAAGCUCGUAGUUGAAUUUCGGGAUCAAUUAGUCGGUCGUGCCUCUGGUACGUACUGGUUUUAUUGGUUCCUCCCUUCUGACGAAACAUGAUGUCAUUAAUUUGGUGUCGUGGAGAAUCAGGACUGUUACCUUGAAAAAAUUAGAGUGUUUAAAGCAGGCUUUAGCUUGAAUACAUUAGCAUGGAAUAAUGAAAUAGGACGUUUGAUCCUAUUUUGUUGGUUUCUAGGAUUGACGUAAUGAUUAAUAGGGAUAGUUGGGGGCAUUAGUAUUCAAUUGUCAGAGGUGAAAUUCUUGGAUUUAUUGAAGACUAACUACUGCGAAAGCAUUUGCCAAGGAUGUUUUCAUUAAUCAAGAACGAAAGUUAGGGGAUCGAAGACGAUCAGAUACCGUCGUAGUCUUAACCAUAAACUAUGCCGACUAGGGAUCGGAUGAUGUUAAUUUUUAAUGACUCAUUCGGCGCCUUAA
Molecule: ribosomal RNA, 520 nt
Filed under: uncultured Glomus
Lineage: Eukaryota; Fungi; Glomeromycota; Glomeromycetes; Glomerales; Glomeraceae
Description: SSU rRNA
Rfam family: Eukaryotic small subunit ribosomal RNA
Source: RNAcentral